GUACAUGUUUUCUCAUUGUUACUGAAUUUUUUUUUAAUAUAAGGAUAGCAUACUACCCGCUUCUUUUAUUAUAAAUAGAAAAUGAACUUGACUACAGAAGUCAAGCAACUGAGGCCUCUCAGAGGUGCCAAAAAAAAAAAAAAAAAAACACACACACACACACCACUGCUGUGCUGACCAUCUAACAUUAAUAUAUUUUAGAUUAUAGGGAUACAUGUUUGGGACACUUUUGUGUAAGUGUUCCAUUUGUGCCAAAUUUUUUUAAAAAAUAUACUAAUGACUAAAUAUAAAACUCAAUUCAACAAAAAAAAAAAGGUUAAUCUACUCAACCCACCCCAUCUAGCCCGUUUGGCCUGAUUACAAACAGAAAAGAAAAAAAAUAAAUAAAAAAUUGAUUACCAUCUCUCCUUCUCCCUUCACUCAAUCCACUGAAGUUCUAGACGAAGAGCCCUUCCCUCUCCUCCUCCUCCGCCACGGCAGCAACGAGCUAGAGUUCCGGCGGUUGCUAAAUUUUAAAUAAGUGUUGGUAAAUUAGCAGCACUCUUUUUAGCUUAUAGCGACACUUUUUAACUGUCACUAUAUACCUAGCGAUCCCACAUAUAGUAACACUUUUUAAAAGUGUUGAUAAUUUAGCUAGUAGUAUUUUUUUUAGCUGUACUAAUAUUUAAAAGUAUCACUAAAGGCCGUUUUUGUUGUAGUGUUGUCAUCUUAAAUAUACUUGUGAUACACAUGACUUCGAGUUGGCCCUAACUUCACGCUCGUUGUUGUAGGCAUUGACUAUUAGUGUCCUUUUUUACUUCUCAAGUGGAAUGAUUUUUCUAGUUCCAAAAAUGGUUUUUGAGAGUUUGAGAAAUAAUAUAUAUAUAUAUAUAUAUAUAUAGAGAGAGAGAGAGAGAGAGAGAGAGUUGAGCUAGAAUACUAUCGAUAGCAAACCGGCUCUGUUGCCACCCAUUUGUUUUCGAUGAUGGAGCCUCCAAAUCGACGAUCGGCACCGUUGAACAUGAUCUAUACCACUUGAAGUGUUUAGAAAUCAAAUUUUAAAUCUUUUCGAUAUCAUUUACCUAAUAAUCAAUGGGCUUCAAAAUUUGUAAUUUUAAUGGUCGAUAUGAGACGUACGUUUUCUCGUUUAACGGUGUAAAGAUAUCCAAAUCAAUUAAAUUUUUGUUAGAAAAUUCUUUAAACUAUUUAAAACAAGAUCUAUACUCUUGAUCUUGAUUACCAGACUCCUAUCAUCAUUUUUUAAAGAAUAUUUAUUUAUAGCCGUUCAUUUUUGUGUCCACUCGAUGGAUAAGAGAACAAUAUCGAAAAUAUAUGAAAUUUGAUUUCUAAACACUUCAAGUGGUAUAGAUCAUGUUCAAUGGUGCCGAUCGUCGAUUUGGAGGCUCCAUCAUCGAAAACAAAUGGGUGGCAACGGAGCC
RNAcentral lists this long non-coding RNA (1418 nucleotides) under Ananas comosus (pineapple). RNAcentral's name for it is "long non-coding RNA (ACOM_LNC025311)". The record is from RNAcentral. Lineage: Eukaryota; Viridiplantae; Streptophyta; Magnoliopsida; Poales; Bromeliaceae.